RNAcentral lists this transfer RNA (69 nucleotides) under Felis catus (domestic cat). It matches the Rfam family "tRNA". Rfam says of the family: Transfer RNA (tRNA) molecules are approximately 80 nucleotides in length. Their secondary structure includes four short double-helical elements and three loops (D, anti-codon, and T loops). The record is from Rfam by way of RNAcentral. Lineage: Eukaryota; Metazoa; Chordata; Mammalia; Carnivora; Felidae.
GCCUGGAUGGCUCAGUAGAGCAUGUGACUCUUGAUCUCAGGGUUAUGAGUUCAAGCCCCAUGUUGGGUG